RNAcentral lists this long non-coding RNA (214 nucleotides) under Capsicum annuum. Its description in RNAcentral is "long non-coding RNA (CANN_LNC019133)". The record is from RNAcentral. Lineage: Eukaryota; Viridiplantae; Streptophyta; Magnoliopsida; Solanales; Solanaceae.
UUAAACAACUUAAGCUCUUAUACCAAUUGUAAGGGGGUGCGGAUAACUUGGGUAACUUAAAUAGAUCUAUUAUUAGUCUAAUAGAUCUAUUUUUGUUUGUGCGUGGAUAUUUCUUAACUUCUCUAAUCAUUUUUAUUUUUAGUUUAUUUAUUUUAAUUUUAUUAAUGUUCAUAUCUUGGGGGGUGAUUGGAUGGUAUUUGAUUAAAUGCUUUAC